Long non-coding RNA from Dromiciops gliroides (monito del monte), 2165 nucleotides. RefSeq lists it as uncharacterized. Lineage: Eukaryota; Metazoa; Chordata; Mammalia; Microbiotheria; Microbiotheriidae. The transcript has 2 exons. The record is from RefSeq and is a predicted model, not a curated record.
CUUCCUGGGAAUGUGUGCAGAACCUAAGGCCCUUGGGGGGAGGGGCAUUCGGUUAGAGCUUGGGUAAAAGUGGGGGAGUUGAAAUCCUGCGUGCCAGGGCAGGGAGGGAGGGCUUGGCCUGACGAUUUGGCCUUGACGUGCUUGCUCUCCCAUCCUUGAUACUGACUGCUGAAGUGCGCCCCUGGGAGGGGCGGGGGGGGGGGUGCCACCGGCCCUGCCCCUGGAGGUCAGCCUGGCCUUGAAUGCUGCCCUGACUCCGUGGGGCCUCCUGUCCACUGAGACCGUGGCUCCCCAGGCCUGUGGCAUUUUCCCACGGCAGGUCUCUUGAGCCGCCGCUCCCAGGCUUCCCCUCCCUGACCCUUGUGAGCAGGGGCCCUUCAUCCUGCAGCUUUCCUUCCUUUUAACUGGUUCAAGAAAUGAGACGAUGAGGCCCUAAUUUUUUUUCCUAUUAUGUCUUAGAUGUGCGAGAUUUGCCCCUCGUGUUGGAGGGGCUGCAGCUCGGCUGACAUGACCCUUCUUGUAGCUGCUUGCUUGGCCGCUGGCACAUUGUGGCCAGCAGGUGGCAGCAGUGGUUACGGAGAAGUGUGUGAGGGAGGGCCAUCCCCCAGUCCUCAGCAUUCUAAACCCAGGGGUGGUAGCUCUUCCAGCACAUUCCUGAGGAGCCCCCGGGCUCAGUCAGGUCAUCGACGGAAGUCGAGGCCGGCCACGAAUCAGGAGCGUGUGUGGCUUUUGGCCUCGUGAGGUCCCCCUUCUCCCCAGGAUGGCGGAGGGGGACGGUGGGGCCGAGCAGUUCUUGUUGCAGCCUCUCUCCUUAGGGUGGGAAGAUGGCAAAAGCCCACCUGAAAUCACUGUUGCUGAUGUGGCCACUGCCGAGGUUCCCGUAUCAUGAGGGAGGCUUUCCGUAGAAAAGAUGAUGGGCUAGGACUGCACUUGUAAUGACUCCUUUUAAAGAUCUGUAACGCGGAAUGAUUCUAUGAAGCUAUCUAUGCAUCUUAGACCUUUCGAGCUGUGAUUUCGCACUGUUUGUUUUCCUUUCACCUUUUCUUAUCCUUUCAUAACUUGCCUGUUCAAGGUACCCAGCGUGACCACCAAGCAUUACCUAAAGAACAGGUCCCGACUGCUGUUUCAAACUGUAACUCCAUUUCGUGGCUCACAUGCUGAAGUAUCUCACUCAGUGAUCUUCCAAUCCCAUCUAACAUCUUGGAGAGCGGGGGUAGAGCAGCUAUUUUUGAAGCCCCCUUCCCUAAUAUGCCAGGCCUUAGGAGGUUUUCUAUUGCAUCUGUCCAUGUUGUUUCCACAGGAAGACAUAGUGGAAGGUAGCUUUGACCGUAGGAUGUGUGGUGCUUUGUAGGUUGUGGCUGAUGGUUUCCAGAAAGUGAAAGAAUGUUUUUUGUGAAUUCAGUACUGUCUGCUGCGAAAACAAGGCUGCAAAUAAUGUUUGAAUCAAGAUGGCCAAGCCAAGUACAAAAGGAGAUUCUUCUUCAUCUCCCCCUUCAGAUUCUUUCAUUAGAACGAUCUUUUCAGAACACUUUGGUUUGAACAGAAUUGUUCCGUUUUCAUUCUUUUUCAUUUUAUUUGUUUCCCCUUUAUUUAUAGAAAGCCCUAAAUAGUUAAAGGCAUGGUAAAUAAUAAUCUAAUAUGUUCGUAUGCCGUGUUCCCCAAACCAUUAUUAGACGCAGUGUCCAGACAGAAUCAGAAUUCAGACUUUGGAAAACAUUCUAGGAUUUUGUGCAUGCACUGUUGACAUUGUAACCUAAAUUUUGUAUAUUCUGGGGGCAGGGGGUGGUUUUGAACACUUUUUAAAAUUCUGGAUGUUAAUUUUGUACAGUUUACGGGCAUUUACAGCUAUUUUUAAUGUACUAGAAUUUGAUAAUUAUGUGCACAUGAAAUUAAUAGAAAUAAAGUUAUUUCCUGUUAGAUUACAGAAUUCCCUGAAAACUUGGCUUAAACAAGAAAGGUGAUUUAUAUCAGAGAAAUGAUACCGCAUCUUUAUAUUUUAAAAUAGGUAUUGCUGCUCGAGAAUGGUACCCUGUUGUCAAAAAAGGCAUACAUAGAUAAUUGUAAAUUCAAAAUUGUAAAUAGCCUGAUGAGAUCUUUGGAUUAAAGUUAUUCAAAAUUUAAAAAAAAACUGAAGUGAAUAAAAUAUAUUUUCUUUUUUUCUGUGA